ACUGCUCAGUAACACGUGGAUAACCUGCCCUAAGGAAGGGGAUAACCUCGGGAAACUGAGGAUAAUACCCUAUAGGUUACAGACGCUGGAAUGCCCUGUAACCGAAAGUUCCGGCGCCUUAGGAUGGAUCUGCGGCCGAUUAGGUUGUUGUUGGGGUAACGGCCCAACAAGCCGAUAAUCGGUACGAGUUGUGGGAGCAAGAGCCCGGAGUUGGAUUCUGAGACAUGAAUCCAGGCCCUACGGGGCGCAGCAGGCGCGAAAACUUUACAAUGCGGGAAACCGUGAUAAGGGAACCCCGAGUGCCUGUAUAUGCAGGCUGUCCAGGUGUCUAAAAAACACCUGAAGAAAGGGCCGGGCAAGACCGGUGCCAGCCGCCGCGGUAAUACCGGCGGCUCGAGUGGUGGCCACUUUUAUUGGGCUUAAAGCGUUCGUAGCUGGGUCGUUAAGUCUCUUGGGAAAUCUGACGGCUCAACCGUCAGGCGUCCAAGGGAUACUGGCAAUCUUGGAACCGGGAGAGGUGAGGGGUACUUCGGGGGUAGGAGUGAAAUCCUGUAAUCCUCGAGGGACCACCUGUGGCGAAGGCGCCUCACCAGAACGGCUUCGACAGUGAGGGACGAAAGCUGGGGGAGCAAACCGGAUUAGAUACCCGGGUAGUCCCAGCCGUAAACGAUGCGCGUUAGGUGUAUCGGUGACCACGAGUCACCGAGGUGCCGAAGGGAAACCGUGAAACGUGCCGCCUGGGAAGUACGGUCGCAAGGCUGAAACUUAAAGGAAUUGGCGGGGGAGCAC
Molecule: ribosomal RNA, 789 nt
Filed under: Methanoculleus sp. enrichment culture clone A5_36
Lineage: Archaea; Methanobacteriati; Methanobacteriota; Methanomicrobia; Methanomicrobiales; Methanomicrobiaceae
Description: bacterial SSU rRNA
Rfam family: Archaeal small subunit ribosomal RNA
Source: RNAcentral